UAAUAAGUCCAUCAAAAUAUAUAUCGCGUGGCUGCUUACAGACAAAGCGAUAUAUAUUUUAGAUGGGCAAACCUAUAUGAGCAAGUAAUGGUUCAGCUUAGCUGAACCACGGAUUGCGAAUGUAGGUAAUGGUUUCGAGAGUUCGCAGAACGGAGAAACCAUUCUUAUUA
Molecule: small RNA, 170 nt
Filed under: Firmicutes bacterium CAG:882
Lineage: Bacteria; Bacillati; Bacillota
Description: Clostridiales-1 RNA
Rfam family: Clostridiales-1 RNA
Source: Rfam by way of RNAcentral